Molecule: ribosomal RNA, 253 nt
Filed under: uncultured bacterium
Lineage: Bacteria
Description: partial 16S ribosomal RNA
Rfam family: Bacterial small subunit ribosomal RNA
Source: RNAcentral
UACGAAGGGGGCUAGCGUUGCUCGGAAUUACUGGGCGUAAAGCGCACGUAGGCGGCUUUCUAAGUCGGGGGUGAAAUCCUGGAGCUCAACUCCAGAACUGCCUUCGAUACUGGAGAGCUCGAGUCCGGGAGAGGUGAGUGGAACUGCGAGUGUAGAGGUGAAAUUCGUAGAUAUCGUAAGGAAGACCAGUGGCGAAGGCGAAUCUCUGGACAAUCACUGACGCUGAGGCACGAAGGCCAGGGGAGCAAACGGG